RNAcentral lists this ribosomal RNA (425 nucleotides) under uncultured bacterium. RNAcentral describes it as "bacterial SSU rRNA". It matches the Rfam family "Bacterial small subunit ribosomal RNA", at positions 354 to 796 of the family's 1533-position model. The record is from RNAcentral.
GUGGGGAAUAUUGGACAAUGGGCGCAAGCCUGAUCCAGCCAUGCCGCGUGAGUGAUGAAGGCCUUAGGGUUGUAAAGCUCUUUCACCGGUGAAGAUAAUGACGGUAACCGGAGAAGAAGCCCCGGCUAACUUCGUGCCAGCAGCCGCGGUAAUACGAAGGGGGCUAGCGUUGUUCGGAAUUACUGGGCGUAAAGCGCACGUAGGCUGAUAUUUAAGUCAGGGGUGAAAUCCCGGGGCUCAACCCCGGAACUGCCUUUGAUACUGGGUAUCUUGAGUAUGGAAGAGGUCAGUGGAAUUGCGAGUGUAGAGGUGAAAUUCGUAGAUAUUAGCAGGAACACCAGUGGCGAAGGCGGCUGACUGGUCCAUUACUGACGCUGAGGUGCGAAAGCGUGGGGAGCAAACAGGAUUAGAUACCCGAGUAGUCC